AUUGAACGCUGGCGGCAUGCCUUACACAUGCAAGUCGAACGGCAGCACGGGAGCAAUCCUGGUGGCGAGUGGCGAACGGGUGAGUAAUAUAUCGGAACGUGCCCGGUCGUGGGGGAUAACGUAGCGAAAGCUACGCUAAUACCGCAUACGAUCUACGGAUGAAAGCGGGGGAUCGCAAGACCUCGCGCGAUUGGAGCGGCCGAUAUCAGAUUAGGUAGUUGGUGAGGUAAAGGCUCACCAAGCCGACGAUCUGUAGCUGGUCUGAGAGGACGACCAGCCACACUGGGACUGAGACACGGCCCAGACUCCUACGGGAGGCAGCAGGUGGGGAAUAUUGGACAAUGGGCGAAAGCCUGAUCCAGCAAUGCCGCGUGAGUGAUGAAGGCCUCGGUUGUAAGGACUCUUUACUUC
Molecule: ribosomal RNA, 411 nt
Filed under: uncultured bacterium
Lineage: Bacteria
Description: bacterial SSU rRNA
Rfam family: Bacterial small subunit ribosomal RNA
Source: RNAcentral